RNAcentral lists this ribosomal RNA (575 nucleotides) under Pseudo-nitzschia sp. 2BOF. Its description in RNAcentral is "eukaryotic LSU rRNA". It matches the Rfam family "Eukaryotic large subunit ribosomal RNA", at positions 364 to 1006 of the family's 3401-position model. The record is from RNAcentral. Lineage: Eukaryota; Bacillariophyta; Bacillariophyceae; Bacillariales; Bacillariaceae.
AUGCAAAGAACUUUGAAAAGAGAGUUAAAGAGUACCUGAAAUUGCUGAAACGGAAGCGAAGGAAACCAGUGUUUGUUGGUUCAUAUUUCCCUGGCCACUUGUGGUUUGGGCGCUGUGAGCUUGCGUGGGUUUGGGUUGGUUGAUCCCUUUGGAAGAGCGCAGUCAGAGUUGAUGUCUGUUGCUAGCACUGGGUUUGACUGAUGCAGACGAAAUGGUUUUCUUUACCCCGUCUUGAAACACGGACCAAGGAGUCUAACAUAUGUGCGAGUACAGGGGUGUCAAACCCCGGUGCGUAAUGAAAGUGACAGUGGUUGGAUAUUUUGCACAAUCCGCCGGCCUCAAUCCUUCGGGAGAACGGUCUGAGUGUGAGCAUACAUGUUGGGACCCGAAAGAUGGUGAACUAUGCCUGAAUAGGGUGAAGCCAGGGGAAACUCUGGUGGAGGCUCGUAGCGAUUCUGACGUGCAAAUCGAUCGUCAAAUUUGGGUAUAGGGGCGAAAGACUAAUCGAACCAUCUAGUAGCUGGUUCCCUCCGAAAUUUCCCUCAGGAUAGCUGCAAUCGAUUUCAAUUUUAUCA